RNAcentral lists this transfer RNA (72 nucleotides) under Psychrobacillus psychrotolerans. RNAcentral describes it as "tRNA-Asn". It matches the Rfam family "tRNA". From Rfam's summary of the family: Transfer RNA (tRNA) molecules are approximately 80 nucleotides in length. Their secondary structure includes four short double-helical elements and three loops (D, anti-codon, and T loops). The record is from RNAcentral. RNAcentral also lists the same sequence under 3 other names. Lineage: Bacteria; Bacillati; Bacillota; Bacilli; Caryophanales; Bacillaceae.
UCCGAAGUAGCUCAGUGGUAGAGCAAUCGGCUGUUAACCGAUUGGUCGUAGGUUCGAGUCCUACCUCCGGAG